Molecule: long non-coding RNA, 3265 nt
Organism: Amphiprion ocellaris (clown anemonefish)
Lineage: Eukaryota; Metazoa; Chordata; Actinopteri; Pomacentridae
Source: Ensembl
GGAGCAGGAGUCAUCCUCACUAAUUCAGCUUCCACCUAGAAACAGAAAGACCACAAACAAACACACUGAUAGACUCUCAAACGUUCAACCUCACAGCCUCAAAAUAUCUGUUCAGGAAGUGUUGUGUUUCUAAAUUCUGCUGAAAGCAUUGACAGACAUUCUCUUACAAGGUUGUGUAAAAAGCAGCCUGUCCUCUGAGCUACUGAGAAAUCUUCCUGAGCAAAGUUUCUAUGAGUAAAUCGGCUCAACAAAAACUAAAGCCUCAGCCAGAGAUAACAGGUACCACAAAUUAUAAACAACUUUCUUUGUUAACUCAGACUUUCUGCUUCAACCUCACAUAAAAAGGGGAGUUUAACUUGUCAGGUGACUGAAAAUGAAUGGCUUGUGCAGUUCUAGAUCCAAAAGUAGGAUGUUUCAACUCAUGUUUUACUACAAAUACAUGCAAUAAUAAAUAAAUACAAUGGCUGGUUGUUAGUUUAUUCACUAUUAAUGUCACUUUAUAUACUGGAUUGAACUUGAGCAGUGGAAGAGAGAAGGAAUUUAAUGAAAUUAUGGAGACAUUGCACAAUGUUAAGCGCGGUUUAAGUCAAACCAGCUGAAUGUUAAACUGCAGUGUAGCUCAACGGGUUUCAGUUAACCUUAAAGUAGAAUAACUUCUUUUAAAAGCUAAAAUACACAGCAGAGAAAUACAGGUUGAGAAGUUCCUUCUAAUAAUGAGGACAGCUGCAGCAGCAACUAACACAGGUGUUCAGCAGUAAGUUAGCCACCUGUGUUAAUUAGCCCGCUAGCUAACUUAGCCGCUUAGCUAGCUAACGCGUACAGACCAACUGCUCAAACACGACAAAACACAACUCUUCACAAGUUGCUGAUGACCACUUCCGGUCUCAGAAAAUGAAAAACUGGAACUUUUUUCGUUUCUGUCUUUUACUGAUUUUAUUUUUUUGUUAUUCUAAAUAUAAAAUGAAAAUUAAAGCAUUUUUAAAUUUUCGUAUAUCCCUUUUUUAUCAUGAAAAGGAAAAACACCUUGUAUUUCAAUUUUAAUUUUUGUAUUUUAAAACGAAAAUCAAAUAACCACUUUUUGUUUUUCAAUACCCGUUUCAGAACGGAAAAUCCAAUUGCCAAAAUAUACACGGGUCCGUGUACCUUCCGUUCAUUUUAUUUCUAAUUCUGAAACGCAAAUCGAAAAACAAAUUUAGGGCCAUUUUUCUAUUGUCAUUUCUGAAACAAAAAUCGGACAACUAUUUAAUGACCCGUUUUUUAAACAAAAUAUUGCAUUUCUGAGUCAAAUUUUAGUUUUCGGGGAAAGGCCUUAAUUUUCUCUUUUUCCAAUUUCAAUUUUCAAUUUUUACGCUUUUCAGUCUGUGGCCCGGAAAUAAAUAAAUAAUUGCGCGGAUUGGUCCGUGUGUCAGGAAGGUCACGGUGCUAGUCUGGUCGUCUUGGUGUCCGGCAAGAAUUUCUCGUACGCAAUGGAUUCUACCAGUUACAUCCUUUUUAAAGGAAACAAAAGGCUAACGCUUAGGGAGGACGACAUGAAUGGAGAUAAAAUCGCCAGAAUAUUCCAGGUAUAUGCUCCGAGCCUGUACAUAACCGAUGAUGACAAUGUGGCCAUAUUCCCUGGUUGGGCUGGACAUUUCAGCUGCUUGGACCUUAAACCUCGUGGCCACUAUGAGGUUCAUGGGGAUGAUAUUGCUCUACCAGUCGCCGAGCAGACUCCUCCAUUGUCAGGCCAGAACCGUUUCCAGUUCCACCGUUCAGCACAGCCCGCUGCUGCUCUAGGGUCACCUGCUCAGGCCAUUGCUCCCACUCCCCCCCGAGCAAGCAUGAGUAACACCUUCCAAAGGUCUGUUUUCAUUGCUGAGCUCAGCCAGGGGAAACUGAAGCCUGCCCGCAUGGUUGUACUCAGACUGUUUGAGUUUGAAGCCACAACCACAGGUAUCCUUGCAAAACUACAUGAUGCCCUGCAGAGUGAUGACCCUCUCAUCCUGACUGAUGCCCAGGGAAAUGAGAUUGUGGACUCCGAAGGGACAAGAGGAUCCAAGUACUGGAAGCAAAAUGCAAAAAAGUUUCUUGCUGUCCCAGAGCAGAUCUUCCAUGAGUUCCAGCAAGGAACAAAGGGAAAGAAACUGAACCAUAAAGAUAUGGACUCCACAAGUCUUCAGGGGGUCUAUGAUAAAAUAGAAGAAGUGAUCUUGGCUGCUCAAGGACUGAAUGAAGUCACCAGAGUCAUGAAGGACCUGUCAACACAUGCCAGCAACACCAGGGGUGCCAUGCUGGUUCUGACCAACACCAUGAUAACACACAUGAAGGAUGCCUUUGGUUGUAUUGUAUACAAAGGGCUAUUGGAAGAGCCUGUGAUUGCCAUAUGCUGCAAAAGCUUUGUUGGCUGCAAAAACUGCGUUGACCAGUGGAUGCUGACAUCCGACCAGUGCCUCAAAUGCAGGGCAGAUGAGUUCUCUGUCAAUGUUCACAGGCUGACCAGUCUUGACAAUCUUCUCUCCAUACUGGCUGGUGUAAUUAAGAUGGAUUAACCCUUUAAGUGUGAUUGUAUCACAUUCUGAUUUAAGCUUGAUCUGGCUAAUUGCCUUGUUCUAAAGUCAGUUGGAAUUUUGCACUUGUUCAAUAACUGUAGAGGAUACAGAAUAGUUUUAUUUUUAUACAUUUUUUUUGUAUUUCAUGUUGCACUUAGACCAAUAUUGCUAUUAUAGCAAUUUUAGCAAGUGUUCAAUUUUAUUUAUUAAAGGAAAGUAACAGAAUAUCUACUAUAUCCAGAAACAACUGGUCUUUAUUUGACAUGUUCAUGCAUAUUGCUGUGUAAUGUUCAUCAGAUACAGCAAUGCAUCUUGAAAAGGUACGAAGUUAUAGUUUACCACAUUAUCUAGUAAAACUGAAAUAUCAGGGUACUGUUCAGCCAAAAGUUGUUCUGCUGAUAUUUUGUCCUCCUCAGUUGAGAAUGGGUCAGUUCCAAAGCAGGAGACUGGAGUUAGUGAAGAGCCAACAUCCUGCUGGUACAUGUCUGCUGCUUGGGAGGCAUGAGGCAACAACUCCUCUCCCAGUUUCUUUGGACGUCCUCCUGCUGCUAAACAAGUGGGUGUUCCUUUGCCUGUGAAGCAAAGCAUAGGUCACAAAAUGUCAUUUUUGUUAAACUUCACUGUCAACAUUUGAAUAAAAAAAGGUUCACAAAAAAGGACUGGAUUGUAUGAUGCAUAUUUUUUUAACUCACCUGGGAUUCUGUGUGCAUUCCAUGCAUGUACAGCUCUUGUUAUGC